CUAAGGAAGGCCUUUGUCUUAAACCCUUACAAAAGGCUUUCCGCCUGGUUUGCAUCGCUAGGUCGACUUCCCUUCCGACAUGAUGCCUGCCCGGCCUGAGAGAGCCGUCAUGAUCUCUCCACGACUUCUCACCCUGACAUGGACUUUGGACCUCGCCAUUUUGUGGCCAUGAGGCUGGAAAGCACAUGCUAAGAGGACAGAGAGUGAGGACAGGAGGCCGGGGCCUGAAGGACAUCUCUGAGCUGCCGUGCCAGCCCUGGACUGCCCCUUUCUGGAUUCAUUUUGUGUGAGAGGAAAAUAAACCCUUAUUUUGUUGAA
Molecule: long non-coding RNA, 318 nt
Organism: Choloepus didactylus (southern two-toed sloth)
Lineage: Eukaryota; Metazoa; Chordata; Mammalia; Pilosa; Megalonychidae
Exons: 2
Source: RefSeq, a predicted model, not a curated record